This 870-nucleotide ribosomal RNA is filed under the name uncultured cyanobacterium. Its description in RNAcentral is "bacterial SSU rRNA". It matches the Rfam family "Bacterial small subunit ribosomal RNA", at positions 276 to 1161 of the family's 1533-position model. Lineage: Bacteria; Bacillati; Cyanobacteriota. The record is from RNAcentral.
ACGAUCAGUAGCUGGUCUGAGAGGAUGAUCAGCCACACUGGGACUGAGACACGGCCCAGACUCCUACGUGAGGCAGCAGUGGGGAAUUUUCCGCAAUGGGCGAAAGCCUGACGGAGCAACGCCGCGUGCGGGAGGAAGGCCUUAGGGUUGUAAACCGCUUUUAUCAGGGAAGAACACAAUGACGGUACCUGAUGAAUAAGCCUCGGCUAAUUCCGUGCCAGCAGCCGCGGUAAUACGGGAGAGGCGAGCGUUAUCCGGAAUUAUUGGGCGUAAAGCGUCCGCAGGUGGCCAAUUAAGUCUGUCGUUAAAUCGUGGAGCUCAACUCCAUACAAGCGAUGGAAACUGAUUGGCUAGAGUACGGUAGGGGUAGCGGGAAUUCCAGGUGUAGCGGUGAAAUGCGUAGAUAUCUGGAAGAACACCAGCGACGAAAGUGCGCUACUGGGCCUGUACUGACACUCAUGGACGAAAGCCAGGGGAGCGAAAGGGAUUAGAUACCCCUGUAGUCCUGGCCGUAAACGAUGAACACUAGGUGUUGCGCGAAUCGACCCGUGCAGUGCCGUAGCCAACGCGUUAAGUGUUCCGCCUGGGGAGUACGCACGCAAGUGUGAAACUCAAAGGAAUUGACGGGGGCCCGCACAAGCGGUGGAGUAUGUGGUUUAAUUCGAUGCAACGCGAAGAACCUUACCAAGGCUUGACAUCCCCCGAAUCUCUGGGAAACCGGAGAGUGCCUUCGGGAGCGGGGAGACAGGUGGUGCAUGGCUGUCGUCAGCUCGUGUCGUGAGAUGUUGUGUUAAGUCCCGCAACGAGCGCAACCCACGUCCUUAGUUGCCAUCAUUUAGUUGGGCACUUUAGGGAGACUGCCGGUGACAA